CUGCUCUGUAACGGUGCUGGUCCAAAAAUGUAACAUUUUAGAAGCUUUUGAAAUGUGUGUUAUGGUUAUAGGAAAUAGAAAGGAGAAAGGAAUGUGCAUUUAAUCAGAAUGUGUCCUAAUUCUGUGCACCUGUGAUUAUUUCUGGAUGACACUCCAUCAAAAUGUCCUGUGUACAUUCUGCUGGAUUUGGUGGCCUACCUUUGACAUUUCUUCUUUCCAUAAAACAAGAGGAAAUCUCUAAAGAUACAAAGAGGACAGCCCUCUUCUCCCACAAUGAAAACCCCACAUCUAAAGAGCCAAAGCUAAGUUGUCAAGAGAAAUGGAGGCCCAGACAGCUGCAAUGACUCGUCCAGUGUUGCAAAGACAGUUAACGCCAGAGGCAGUGAGUCUCAGGAACAAAGAGCUUGGUUGGUUCUCCCUUGGACAAACACUGAAUAUGACAAGGCUCUUCAGGGACCACAUAACGCUCAAUGUGAAAACUAAAUACUCAGAAUGGGCAACAAAAAGCAGAGAGGCUGCCAAACAAAGUAAAUUUCAGGUCUUUGACAACUACUUACAAAACACAGAAAGAGAAUUCCUUGGCAGAGAAGCUCCCAGGAGUUCUACUCAAGAGACUGUUUCCUGUCAUGACAACUUUCCUGGCAUCUGCCUGUAUUCAAAAGAUGUUCUGAGGCGCACAAUUGAGUGUGAAGAUCAGCCUUGUAAAACUUCUAUGCUUUUAAGUUCUCUUCAUCCUCAUGUAAUGUUUUGAGAAUUUAUUCUAACUCAAGUUCAUAUACCUGCAAAUCAAGCCCACCACUACCAUCGUAUAUGGUCCAGAUGCAGUGCCUGGAGCUCGGCAUAUAUAAUCUCUAACCUUUAACACAACACCAACAAAGAAGAUGCAUACAUGUGUGUGUGUGUGUGUGUGUGUGUGUGUAUACAUAUACAUCUGUCUAUAUAUCUCAUUGUCCAGAUGUGAAACUAAGGUUCCAAGAAGCUCAGUAACGUGUCCAAGGCCACCUAGCCGGGAAGGAAGAGCCAGAAUCCAGAAUCCCACCUGGGUCCCUCAGACCCCACUAUCUACAGUCUUUACACCCAGCCAGUUUGCCUCAGCUCUUCACUACUUCUCUCCCAUACAGAUUUUAGUUUUCACUUUUUUCUCCUUGUUUCUAUCCUUUCAGUCCUUUUCCACAGUCCUUUCUAACUCUCUCUAGCUUUAUUUCUAAAUCUUCUUACUACACUCUAGUUCACUGUUUCCUAGUGGGAUCCCAAAGGGGAAGUCCAUUUGCAUUAGAACCACCUUUCAGUCAAACGGGUAACACCCAGGCUCCAGCCCAGGCCAGCUGAGUAGGAGUAUCUGGGGUUGGAGCAUAGGAAUGGACAUUUUGAUCAAGCUCCCUAAGAAAUUAUUUUGCACAUCAAAGUUUGAAAGCUGCUAUUAUAGUUAUUAUAAAAGCUUAAGUACUAUGUGUAAAUUAAAAUUGCUUCUCUUC
RNAcentral lists this long non-coding RNA (1475 nucleotides) under Equus asinus (donkey). RNAcentral describes it as "lncRNA (ENSEASG00005038583.1)". Lineage: Eukaryota; Metazoa; Chordata; Mammalia; Perissodactyla; Equidae. The record is from RNAcentral.